GUAGGGAAUAUUGCACAAUGGGCGCAAGCCUGAUGCAGCAACGCCGCGUGCGCGAUGAAGGCCUUCGGGUCGUAAAGCGCUUUUCGGGGAGAUGAGGAAGGACAGUAUCCUCGGAAGAAGGAUCGGCUAACUACGUGCCAGCAGCCGCGGUAAAACGUAGGAUCCGAGCGUUAUCCGAAUUCACUGGGCGUAAAGCGCGUGCAGGCGGUUCGGUAAGUUGGAUGUGAAAUCUCCCGGCUCAACUGGGAGGGGACGUUCAAUACUGUCGGACUCGAGGACGGUAGAGGGAGGUGGAAUUCCCGGUGUAGUGGUGAAAUGCGUAGAUAUCGGGAGGAACACCAGUGGCGAAGGCGGCCUCCUGGACCGUACCUGACGCUCAGACGCGAAAGCUAGGGGAGCGAACGGGAUUAGAAACCCCAGUAGUCC
RNAcentral lists this ribosomal RNA (426 nucleotides) under uncultured bacterium. RNAcentral describes it as "bacterial SSU rRNA". It matches the Rfam family "Bacterial small subunit ribosomal RNA", at positions 354 to 796 of the family's 1533-position model. The record is from RNAcentral.